Molecule: ribosomal RNA, 301 nt
Filed under: uncultured bacterium
Lineage: Bacteria
Description: partial 16S ribosomal RNA
Rfam family: Bacterial small subunit ribosomal RNA
Source: RNAcentral
CAGCCGCCGCGGUAAUACAGAGGGUGCAAGCGUUAAUCGGAUUUACUGGGCGUAAAGGGCGCGUAGGUGGUUAUGUAAGUGAGAUGUGAAAUCCCCGGGCUCAACCUGGGAACUGCAUCUUAUACUGCGUAGCUGGAGUGCAGUAGAGGGUAGUGGAAUUUCCGGUGUAGCGGUGAAAUGCGUAGAUAUCGGAAGGAACACCAGUGGCGAAGGCGGCUACCUGGACUGACACUGACACUGAGGCGCGAAAGCGUGGGGAGCAAACAGGAUUAGAUACCCCUGUAGUCCCUGUCUCUUAUAC